This 253-nucleotide ribosomal RNA is filed under the name uncultured bacterium. RNAcentral describes it as "partial 16S ribosomal RNA". It matches the Rfam family "Bacterial small subunit ribosomal RNA", at positions 524 to 776 of the family's 1533-position model. The record is from RNAcentral.
UACGAAGGGGGCUAGCGUUGUUCGGAUUUACUGGACGUAAAGCGCACGUAGGCGGAUCGAUCAGUCAGGGGUGAAAUCCCAGAGCUCAACUCUGGAACUGCCUUUGAUACUGUCGAUCUGGAGUAUGGAAGAGGUGAGUGGAAUUCCGAGUGUAGAGGUGAAAUUCGUAGAUAUUCGGAGGAACACCAGUGGCGAAGGCGGCUCACUGGUCCAUUACUGACGCUGAGGUGCGAAAGCGUGGGGAGCAAACAGG